AGGUCAAAGGAUCACUUACACAACUCCCAUUAGAGAAACAUCAGUUGACAUAUAAAUAAGAUUCCAUCUGAUAUUCUCUCGUAGGUCAAUUCAGUAAACUCAUUCUCUAAUGAGCACCCAUAUCGUUGUAUUAGUGUCGCCACAUAACUGGUUAUGAGAUCAACCAUCCUUACUUCUAAGCAUACAUAGGAUAUGCCAGUCUUACUGGUAUCAUUGAUCUCUGACUCAAUGUACCAAUGACUAAGAAUAUUUUAGGUCAGGGC
This 263-nucleotide long non-coding RNA is filed under the name Elaeis guineensis (African oil palm). RNAcentral's name for it is "long non-coding RNA (EGUI_LNC067126)". Lineage: Eukaryota; Viridiplantae; Streptophyta; Magnoliopsida; Arecales; Arecaceae. The record is from RNAcentral.